GAUGAACGCUGGCGGCGUGCCUAAUACAUGCAAGUCGAGCGAACAGACGAGGAGCUUGCUCCUCUGACGUUAGCGGCGGACGGGUGAGUAACACGUGGAUAACCUACCUAUAAGACUGGGAUAACUUCGGGAAACCGGAGCUAAUACCGGAUAAUAUAUUGAACCGCAUGGUUCAAUAGUGAAAGACGGUUUUGCUGUCACUUAUAGAUGGAUCCGCGCCGCAUUAGCUAGUUGGUAAGGUAACGGCUUACCAAGGCCACGAUGCGUAGCCGACCUGAGAGGGGUAGUCGGCCCCCCGGAACCGAGACCCCGUUCCGAACUCCACGGGGAGGCAGCGGUGGGGAAUCUUCCGCAUGGGGCGAAGCCCUGCCGAGCCACCGCGGCUUGGGUAAUAAGGGUCUUCGAUUCGUAAAACCUUGUUAUUGGGAAAAAACAAAUGUUAAAGAAACAAUGCCCGUCUGACCGUUACCUAACCAAAAGGCCCCGCCUACCUCCUG
Molecule: ribosomal RNA, 497 nt
Filed under: uncultured bacterium
Lineage: Bacteria
Description: partial 16S ribosomal RNA
Rfam family: Bacterial small subunit ribosomal RNA
Source: RNAcentral